UCCCUGGUGGCUGAAAUGGUAAAAAAAUCUGCCUUCAAUGCAGAAGACCUGGGUUUGAUUCCUGGGUUGGGAA
RNAcentral lists this transfer RNA (73 nucleotides) under Bos taurus (domestic cattle). It matches the Rfam family "tRNA". Rfam says of the family: Transfer RNA (tRNA) molecules are approximately 80 nucleotides in length. Their secondary structure includes four short double-helical elements and three loops (D, anti-codon, and T loops). RNAcentral also lists the same sequence under 3 other names. The record is from Rfam by way of RNAcentral. Lineage: Eukaryota; Metazoa; Chordata; Mammalia; Artiodactyla; Bovidae.